RNAcentral lists this ribosomal RNA (465 nucleotides) under uncultured bacterium. Its description in RNAcentral is "partial 16S ribosomal RNA". It matches the Rfam family "Bacterial small subunit ribosomal RNA", at positions 338 to 795 of the family's 1533-position model. The record is from RNAcentral.
CCUACGGGAGGCAGCAGUGGGGAAUAUUGCGCAAUGGGCGAAAGCCUGACGCAGCGACGCCGCGUGAGUGAUGAAGGUCUUCGGAUCGUAAACCUCUGUCAGCAGGGAAGAACGGUCACUGUGCUAAUCAGCAGUUAAUUGACGGUACCUGCAAAGGAAGCACCGGCUAACUCCGUGCCAGCAGCCGCGGUAAUACGGAGGGUGCGAGCGUUAAUCGGAAUUACUGGGCGUAAAGCGCUCGUAGGCGGUAUGUUAAGUCAAGGGUGAAAUCCCCGCGCUCAACGUGGGAACUGCCUUUGAAACUGGGACACUGGAGUGUGUGAGAGGAUAGUGGAAUUACAGGUGUAGGAGUGAAAUCCGUAGAUAUGUGGAGGAACAUCAGUGGCGAAGGCGACUAUCUGGCACAUAACUGACGCUGAGGAGCGAAAGCGUGGGUAGCAAACAGGAUUAGAUACCCGAGUAGUC